UAGUACACUUAAAUUUAAUUAAUAAAUACUAGAAUAUUAGAAGUUAUGUUCUUUAAAUUUAAAAAAUUUGGCGGUGUUUUAGUCUAGUUAGAGGAACCUGUUUUAUAAACGAUACAACACGCAUUAUCUUACUUAUUUUAGUACUCAGCUUGUAUACCGUCAUUAUAAAGAUGAUUUAGGAGAAAAUAUUAUUGGAAUCAGAGUAUUGAAUAUAUUAGAUCAAGGUGCAGCUUAUGAAUAGGAAAAUAUGGGUUACAAUAAAAUUUAUUUAAUAUGGAUUAAGUAUUUAAAUAUAUAUAUGAAGGAGGAUUUAAUUGUAAGAAAAGAAAUAGUAAGAUUUUCUGAUAGAAGCUCUAAAUUAU
Molecule: ribosomal RNA, 362 nt
Filed under: Cambarus pecki
Lineage: Eukaryota; Metazoa; Arthropoda; Malacostraca; Decapoda; Cambaridae
Description: partial 12S ribosomal RNA
Source: RNAcentral